Long non-coding RNA from Capsicum annuum, 1139 nucleotides. RefSeq lists it as uncharacterized. The record is from RefSeq and is a predicted model, not a curated record. The transcript has 4 exons. Lineage: Eukaryota; Viridiplantae; Streptophyta; Magnoliopsida; Solanales; Solanaceae.
GAGGUUGGGAUAAGAAACAACAUAAUAUAGCCACAAUCAUAAGGCUAUAGUGCAGGUAGGACCCUUAUCAAAAUUUAGCUAUUGAUUUAGCAUUUUAUCUAUGAGGCUUUUGGUAUUUAUAAAUUGUACGAGUAAGUUGGGAAAAAUUGGCAAAACUAUUUUGCCAUAUAUUCACUUUUUUUUUUCAUUUAAUUUUUAGGUUUAGGGUGUAAAAAGUGGAAAAAAAUUGAAAAAGUGGGGCCCACACGUGAGCUAAGGGAUCAUUUCAUCAUUUUUACAACUUUGCAAAUUUAAUAUAAUACACCUAACACCCUCCACUUAUUCCAAUAUUAAAAAAAAACUCUCUCUCCUCUUCAAUUCUCUCCAACUCCCGCAAUUUCCAACAAGCUCCUCCUAAAACAUCAUUUUUGUCUCUCCUUCUUCUCCAGCUGCUAAGGGCUCAUCGUUGCUUUAUAAGAUUUGGAUCUAUGAGGCAUUUCCUCAUCUUGAAAAAUUUGCUGAAAAAUCAAUGGAUGAGCCCUUUCUCAUUUUUCACAUCCUGAGAUGGCACACUACAAAAAGUGAGAAGAUAAUCGAAGGCGACCUAUUCAAGCAUAAAGGAAAAGUUACCAAGAAUGUGCACCAGUACAUCAUCCCUACUAUUCGUGAGACGGAGAUGGAUUACAUGAUUACGUUUAAGUCAUAUACGAACGAGGUAAAUAAUAACAAAGAUUUACAAGGGUGACUGUCCUUACUUUAAAUAAGGACAGUGAUGAUGACGGAGAUUUGAGUAGUAACCCUGUUGGAGUACGCAUUGGUGAUGAUGCUUCUCCAAGAAUCUCCAAAGAUAUAGCAGGCACCUCUGUCGAUGGGAAUCUUCAUAAGCGUGUUGCUAUGCUCGAGAAAGCGAUGUUGGAUAUUGCUGCCUACAUCAUAGAUAAGAGAUUAAAGAAAAAGAAAAAGGAUGAGCGAUAAUAUGAGCGAGUGCAUAUGGACCUUUAGAAAUCAGAGAGAAAUGAAGAAGAAGAAAAAAAAUGAAUGAGUUGGUCACUGUUGUAGCAAGAGAGGGAAAAGGGAUAAACAAGAAGAAAUAGAAGAAGAUAAGAGCCAAGAAAAAACUGAAAAAAAAAGUUGCAGAAGAAGAAGCUAAAAAGAAGCAG